Molecule: long non-coding RNA, 222 nt
Organism: Herpailurus yagouaroundi (jaguarundi)
Lineage: Eukaryota; Metazoa; Chordata; Mammalia; Carnivora; Felidae
Exons: 2
Source: RefSeq, a predicted model, not a curated record
AAUGAGCCACCAGCUUCCUGUAGCAAGACUGGGGACCAACUGAAGAACAAGGUCAAAUCCAACAGGAUUGGUAUUGCCUAUAGCUCCUUUCCUGGCCUCACUCCUACCGUCUUAAGAUCUGGAUGCUACAGAAACAACGUAGUUCCCUCCCAUUUCUUCUUUCUAGAUCACUGUAACCCAAGCUCCGAGCAGUCUGACAGUAGUAAAACAUGAGUGCUAAUA